RNAcentral lists this long non-coding RNA (320 nucleotides) under Trifolium pratense (red clover). RNAcentral's name for it is "long non-coding RNA (TPRA_LNC007079)". The record is from RNAcentral. Lineage: Eukaryota; Viridiplantae; Streptophyta; Magnoliopsida; Fabales; Fabaceae.
UAAAAUUAUUUACUAUUUUACUGUAAAAAGAAAUAAAACAAUUGGUAUAACACCCCAUGUCAAUUUAUCUAGAAUAUCGACAACAGUGUACAUAACUGAAUCGAAAAACAUUAAAUUUUCAUUACAUAAAGAUCAAACACAUGAAUAGGAUUACAAAAUCCAAGAAGUGAACACAAAUUUGAGCCAACAACUAAACUUAAUCAAUCCGAAUCUUAUACAAGAUAUAAGAUAAACGUAACAUCGGCUCCAAAUCGUACUCCACGUAUCUGGGUCUUCAUGCUUGCUGACCACGACAUCGCGAUCAACCUGGUUAUCUGAAA